RNAcentral lists this ribosomal RNA (240 nucleotides) under uncultured bacterium. Its description in RNAcentral is "partial 16S ribosomal RNA". It matches the Rfam family "Bacterial small subunit ribosomal RNA", at positions 524 to 764 of the family's 1533-position model. The record is from RNAcentral.
UACGAAGGGGGCUAGCGUUGCUCGGAAUCACUGGGCGUAAAGCGCACGUAGGCGGCUUUUAAGUCAGAGGUGAAAUCCUGGAGCUCAACUCCAGAACUGCCUUUGAUACUGGAGAGCUUGAGUCCGGGAGAGGUGAGUGGAACUGCGAGUGUAGAGGUGAAAUUCGUAGAUAUUCGCAAGAACACCAGUGGCGAAGGCGGCUCACUGGCCCGGUACUGACGCUGAGGUGCGAAAGCGUGG